GUGGGUAUGGGUCAGUGGUAGAGCAUGUGCUUAGUAUGCAUGAGUUCUUGGGUUCAAUCCCCAGUACCUCUG
Molecule: transfer RNA, 72 nt
Filed under: Camelus bactrianus (Bactrian camel)
Lineage: Eukaryota; Metazoa; Chordata; Mammalia; Artiodactyla; Camelidae
Also listed under: 3 other names
Rfam family: tRNA
About the family: Transfer RNA (tRNA) molecules are approximately 80 nucleotides in length. Their secondary structure includes four short double-helical elements and three loops (D, anti-codon, and T loops).
Source: Rfam by way of RNAcentral